RNAcentral lists this ribosomal RNA (253 nucleotides) under uncultured bacterium. RNAcentral describes it as "partial 16S ribosomal RNA". It matches the Rfam family "Bacterial small subunit ribosomal RNA", at positions 524 to 776 of the family's 1533-position model. The record is from RNAcentral.
UACAGAGGUCCCAAGCGUUGCUCGGAAUCACUGGGCGUAAAGGGUGCGUAGGCGGGUUCUUAAGUCAGAGGUGAAAUCCUGGAGCUCAACUCCAGAACUGCCUUUGAUACUGAGAGUCUUGAGUUCGAGAGAGGUGAGUGGAACUGCGAGUGUAGAGGUGAAAUUCGUAGAUAUUCGCAAGAACACCAGUGGCGAAGGCGGCUCACUGGCUCGAUACUGACGCUGAGGAGCGAAAGCGUGGGGAGCAAACAGG